Molecule: ribosomal RNA, 497 nt
Filed under: uncultured bacterium
Lineage: Bacteria
Description: partial 16S ribosomal RNA
Rfam family: Bacterial small subunit ribosomal RNA
Source: RNAcentral
GACGAACGCUGGCGGCGUGCCUAAUACAUGCAAGUUGAGCGAUGAAGCUUGGUGCUUGCACCAAUUUGAAGAGCAGCGAACGGGUGAGUAACGCGUGGGGAAUCUGCCUUUGAGCGGGGGACAACAUUUGGAAACGAAUGCUAAUACCGCAUAACAACUUUAAACAUAAGUUUUAAGUUUGAAAGAUGCAAUUGCAUCACUCAAAGAUGAUCCCGCGUUGUAUUAGCUAGUUGGUGAGGUAAAGGCUCACCAAGGCGAUGAUACAUAGCCGACCUGAGAGGGUGAUCGGCCACAUUGGGACUGAGACACGACCCAAACUCCUACGGGAGGCAGCAGUAGGGAAUCUUCGGCAAUGGACGAAAGUCUGACCGAGCAACGCCGCGUGAGUGAAGAAGGUUUUCGGAUCGUAAAACUCUGUUGGUAGAGAAGAACGUUGGUGAGAGUGGAAAGCUCAUCAAGUGACGGUAACUACCCAGAAAGGGACGGCUAACUACGUG